RNAcentral lists this ribosomal RNA (492 nucleotides) under uncultured bacterium. RNAcentral describes it as "partial 16S ribosomal RNA". It matches the Rfam family "Bacterial small subunit ribosomal RNA", at positions 29 to 507 of the family's 1533-position model. The record is from RNAcentral.
AGUGAACGCUGGCGGUAGGCCUAACACAUGCAAGUCGAACGGCAGCACAGUAAGAGCUUGCUCUUACGGGUGGCGAGUGGCGGACGGGUGAGGAAUACAUCGGAAUCUACUUUUUCGUGGGGGAUAACGUAGGUAAACUUACGCUAAUACCGCAUACGACCUACGGUUGAAAGCAGGGGAUCUUCUGACCUUGCGCGAUUGAAUGAGCCGAUGUCGGCUUAGCUAGUUGGCGGGGUAAAGGCCCACCAAGGCGACGAUCCGUAGCUGGUCUGAGAGGAUGAUCAGCCACACUGGAACUGGGACACGGUCCAGACUCCUACGGGAGGCAGCAGUGGGGAAUAUUGGACAAUGGGCGCAAGGCUGAUCCAGCCAUAGCGCGUGGGUGAAGAAGGCCUUCGGGUUGUAAAGCCCUUUUGUUGGGAAAGAAAAGCAGCAGGUUAAUACCCAGCUGUUCUGACGGUACCCAAAGAAUAAGCACCGGCUAACUUCGUG